ACGCUGGCGGCGUGCCUAACACAUGCAAGUCGAACGGAGAUUACGGACGGAAGUUUUCGGAUGGAAGACUGUAAUUCUUAGUGGCGGACGGGUGAGUAACGCGUGGGCAACCUGCCCUAUACAGGGGGAUAGCAGCUGGAAACGGCUGGUAAGACCGCAUAAGUCGGCGAGACCGCAUGGUUUUGCCGGGAAAUGAGCAAUCAGGUAUAGGAUGGGCCCGCGUCCGAUUAGCCAGUUGGCAGGGUAAAAGCCUACCAAAGCAACGAUCGGUAGCCGGACUGAGAGGUCGGACGGCCACAUUGGGACUGAGACACGGCCCAAACUCCUACGGGAGGCAGCAGUGGGGGAUAUUGCACAAUGGAGGAAACUCUGAUGCAGCGACGCCGCGUGAGUGAAGAAGUAUUUCGGUAUGUAAAGCUCUAUCAGCAGGGAAGAUGAUGACGGUACCUGACUAAGAAGCCCCGGCUAACUACGUGCCAGCAGCCGCGGUAAUACGUAGGGGGCAAGCGUUAUCCGGAUUUACUGGGUGUAAAGGGAGCGCAGGCGGUUUGGCAAGUUGAGAGUGGAAGCAGGGGGCUCAACCCCCUGACUGCUCCCAAAACUGUUAAACUUGAGUAUGGGAGAGGCAGGCGGAAUUCCUAGUGUAGCGGUGAAAUGCUUAGAUAUUAGGAAGAACACCGGUGGCGAAGGCGGCCUGCUGGACCAAAACUGACGCUGAGGCUCGAAAGCGUGGGUAGCAAACAGGAUUAGAUACCCUGGUAGUCCACGCUGUAAACGAUGAAUACUAGGUGCUGGGAGGCAUAAGCCUUUCGGUGCCGUCGCAAACGCAUUAAGUAUUCCACCUGGGGAGUACGUUCGCAAGAAUGAAACUCAAAGGAAUUGACGGGGACCCGCACAAGCGGUGGAGCAUGUGGUUGAA
Molecule: ribosomal RNA, 919 nt
Filed under: uncultured bacterium
Lineage: Bacteria
Description: bacterial SSU rRNA
Rfam family: Bacterial small subunit ribosomal RNA
Source: RNAcentral